RNAcentral lists this ribosomal RNA (468 nucleotides) under uncultured bacterium. RNAcentral describes it as "partial 16S ribosomal RNA". It matches the Rfam family "Bacterial small subunit ribosomal RNA", at positions 28 to 507 of the family's 1533-position model. The record is from RNAcentral.
GACGAACGCUGGCGGCGUGCUUAACACAUGCAAGUCGAACGGAAAGGCCCUGCUUUUGUGGGGUGCUCGAGUGGCGCACGGGUGAGUAACACGUGAGUAACCUGCACUUGACUUUGGGAUAACUUCAGGAAACUGGGGCUAAUACCGGAUAGGAGCUCCUGCUGCAUGGUGGGGGUUGGAAAGUUUCGGCGGUUGGGGAUGGACUCGCGGCUUAUCAGCUGGUUGGUGGGGUAGUGGCUUACCAAGGCUUUGACGGGUAGCCGGCCUGAGAGGGUGACCGGCCACAUUGGGACUGAGAUAGGGCGCAGACUGCAACGGGAGGCAGUAGGGGGGAAUAUUGCACAAUGGGCGGAAGCCUGAUGCAGCAACGCCGCGUGCGGGAUGACGGCCUUCGGGUUGUAAACCGCUUUCGCAUGUGACGAAGCGUGAGUGACGGUAAUGGGUAAAGAAGCACCGGCUAACUACGUG